This 1182-nucleotide ribosomal RNA is filed under the name Microcaldota archaeon. RNAcentral's name for it is "bacterial SSU rRNA". It matches the Rfam family "Archaeal small subunit ribosomal RNA", at positions 1 to 957 of the family's 1478-position model. The record is from RNAcentral. Lineage: Archaea; Nanobdellati; Microcaldota.
ACACCAGUUGAUCCUGCUGGAGGAUACUGCUAUCGGAUUACGACUAAGACAUGCAAGUUCAAAGACCAAAGCUUUUGGUCUUGGCGAACGGCUGAGUAACACGUAGUCAACCUACCCUAGGGAUUCGCAUAACUUCGGGAAACUGAAGCGAAUUCGUUAUAGGCAAGGAAUUCUGGAACGAAUCCUUGCUUAAAAGAGCACUUGAAAUGCAGAGUGUUUCGCCCUAGGAUGGGACUGCGUCUGAUUAGGCUGUUGGCGAGGUAACGGCUCACCAAACCAAUAAUCAGUAGGGGCUAUGAGAGUAGGAGCCCCCAGAAGGGCACUGAGACAAGGGCCCUAGCCCUAUGGGGUGCAGCAGUUACGAAAAUUCCGCAAUGCGCGCAAGCGUGACGGGGGUAGUCCGAGUGCCAUCCGAAAGGAUGGCUUUUGGCCAGUCUGAAUAACUGGCAGAAUAAGUGGUGGGUAAAACCUGUGCCAGCCGCCGCGGUAAUACAGGUAGCACGAGUGGUGUCCACGAAUAUUGAGUCUAAAGCGUCCGUAGCCGGUUUGGUAAAUUUUCUGUGAAAUCUCUCGGCUUAACCGAGAGGCUUGCAGGGAACACUGCUAGACUCGGGAGUGGGGGAGGCCUGAGGUACGCCAGGGGGAACGGUAAAAUGUUUUAAUCCUUGGCGGACCACCAGUGGCGAAAGCGUCAGGCCAAAACACGUUCGACGGUGAGGGACGAAGGCUAGGGGAGCAAACCGGAUUAGAUAUGCCUUUCGGAAAAAACGAGUUAAAAAUAAGCGCGCUGCUUCCAAAACAACGCGUCAAUUACGCCGAGCCCACAACGUUCGGCAAUUAUUUUUGGGUGAUAUUUGGAAAAUUAAUUCCGUUCCGUGUCAUCUAUAAUUAAAAUGAAUUUUUCAACCGCGUAUGGUUGAAAACUGUUCAAAAGCGGUUUUUUCGGGGAGGCACUAAACACCCGGGUAGUCCUAGCAGUAAAUGAUGCAAACUUGGCGUUGCACUUGCCUCGAGCGAGUGCAGUGCCGCAGCGAAGGCGUUUAGUUUGCCACUUGGGGAGUACGGUCGCAAGACUGAAACUUAAAGGAAUUGGCGGGGGAGCACCGCAACGGGUGGAGCGUGCGGUUUAAUUGGAUUCAACGCCGGAAAUCUCACCGGGGGCGACGGUUAUAUGAAGGCCAG